AACCUCCGCAAUGUGAGAAAUCGCGACGGGGGGAUUCCAAGUGCCAUUCUUAACGGGAUGGCUUUUCAUUAGUGUAAAGAGCUUUUGGAAUAAGGGCUGGGCAAGACCGGUGCCAGCCGCCGCGGUAACACCGGCAGCUCUAGUGGUAGCAGUUUUUAUUGGGCCUAAAGCGUCCGUAGCCGGUUUAAUAAGUCUCUGGUGAAAUCCUGUAGCUUAACUGUGGGAAUUGCUGGAGAUACUAUUAGACUUGAGACCGGGAGAGGUUAGAGGUACUCCCAGGGUAGAGGUGAAAUUCUGUAAUCCUGGGAGGACCGCCUGUUGCGAAGGCGUCUAACUGGAACGGUUCUGACGGUGAGGGACGAAAGUUAGGGGCGCGAACCGGAUUAGAUACCCGGGUAGUCCUAACCGUAGAACGUGCGGACUUGGUGUUGGGGUGGCUUUGAGCUGCUCCAGUGCCGAAGGGAAGCUGUUAAGUCCGCCGCCUGGGAAGUACGGUCGCAAGACUGAAACUUAAAGGAAUU
RNAcentral lists this ribosomal RNA (521 nucleotides) under uncultured bacterium. RNAcentral describes it as "bacterial SSU rRNA". It matches the Rfam family "Archaeal small subunit ribosomal RNA", at positions 345 to 866 of the family's 1478-position model. The record is from RNAcentral.